AUGCAAUGCAGAUGUCGGGCAGUCUGCUCCGGCCAUGCCUUGGGUUCUUCUUGUGGCUGUGAGCAUGUUAACUGCGUGGUUAAUCCAUUUGGUCAUGAGAUGGAACAUGGGUCCACCAUACAGCGCGGGGGUCGAGGGGUCUCCCGCUCCUCGGGGCCGGAGUCGCUCGAGUUCUUCGCCCGGAACCCAUCGCUGGAGCUCAUCCCCUUCUUGAAGCGACGAAUUCACGACGGCUGCAAUUUCAGAAUCAUGGGAGCCGACUGCAUUAUUGCAAAACUCGAGACCUUCCACAAGCACCUCAGGACACUGGUACUUCAACUCUUCGGCCCAGAAAACCUCAGGCUGGUUCUGCUCCAUGAAGUGCAGCAGACGGCCCAAGCUAGUCUGCUCUCCUGGCUUGAUCAUCCUAGCAUCGAAAUGAUAUUCAGCAUCACGGCAAAGCGAUUAAUCAGCUACGACUCCUCAAGCUCGGAUGGGAAGUUGUGGAAGCAAUUCGAUGCAUUUCUUCAGGGACUAUUAGCAUUUCCACUUUACAUUCCUGGCAUAGCAUCUGCAAAAGUAUGCAGGUAA
This 570-nucleotide ribosomal RNA is filed under the name Triticum aestivum (bread wheat). RNAcentral's name for it is "partial small subunit ribosomal RNA". The record is from RNAcentral. Lineage: Eukaryota; Viridiplantae; Streptophyta; Magnoliopsida; Poales; Poaceae.